This 112-nucleotide ribosomal RNA is filed under the name Microcaldota archaeon. Lineage: Archaea; Nanobdellati; Microcaldota. The record is from RNAcentral.
UCAUACGGCCAUAGGUACAGGGAAACGCCCAAACCCAUUCCGAACUUGGAAGCUAAGCCUGUUCACGACACGAAAUACUUCUUAACUGUGGGAAAGCGUGUUGCCGUCUGAC